CCCCUAGUAACUGCGAGUGAAGCGGGAAGAGCUCAAAUUUGAAAUCUGGCGGUUCUGCCGUCCGAGUUGUAAUCUGGAGAAGCGUUUUCCGUGCCGGACCGUGUACAAGUCUCUUGGAACAGAGCGUCAUAGAGGGUGAGAAUCCCGUCUUUGACACGGACUCCCGGUGCUCUGCGAUGCGCUCUCGAAGAGUCGAGUUGUUUGGGAAUGCAGCUCAAAAUGGGUGGUAAAUUCCAUCUAAAGCUAAAUAUUGGCGAGAGACCGAUAGCGAACAAGUACCGUGAGGGAAAGAUGAAAAGCACUUUGGAAAGAGAGUAAAACAGUACGUGAAAUUGUUGAAAGGGAAACGCUUGGAGUCAGUCGCGUCUUCUGGAACUCAGCCGUGCUUCUGCGCGGUGCACUUUCCAGUUCGACGGGUCAGCAUCGGCUCUGGGGGGCGGACAAAGGCGCGGGGAAGGUGGCAGCUCCGGCUGUGUUAUAGCCCCGCGCUACACGUCCUCCGGGACCGAGGAAUCCGGCGCUCGCGCCUGGGAUGCUGGCGUAAUGGCUUUAAACGACCCGUCUUGAAACACGGACCAAGGAGUGCUACAUGCUCGCGAGUGUUUGGGUGGAAAACCCGAGCGCGCAAUGAAAGUGAAAGUCGAGACCCUUUGCGGGGGCACCGACGCCCGAGCCUGAAGUUUACGGACGGCCUUGCGGUAGAGCGAGUAUGUUGCGACCCGAAAGAUGGUGAACUAUUCCUGAGGAGGGCGAAGCCAGAGGAAACUCUGGUGGAGGCUCGUAGCGGUUCUGACGUGCAAAUCGAUCGCAGGACUUGGG
RNAcentral lists this ribosomal RNA (819 nucleotides) under Subulicystidium tropicum. Its description in RNAcentral is "partial large subunit ribosomal RNA". It matches the Rfam family "Eukaryotic large subunit ribosomal RNA", at positions 77 to 915 of the family's 3401-position model. The record is from RNAcentral. Lineage: Eukaryota; Fungi; Basidiomycota; Agaricomycetes; Trechisporales; Hydnodontaceae.